This 77-nucleotide transfer RNA is filed under the name Planctomycetaceae bacterium. RNAcentral's name for it is "tRNA-Pro". It matches the Rfam family "tRNA". Rfam says of the family: Transfer RNA (tRNA) molecules are approximately 80 nucleotides in length. Their secondary structure includes four short double-helical elements and three loops (D, anti-codon, and T loops). Lineage: Bacteria; Pseudomonadati; Planctomycetota; Planctomycetia; Planctomycetales; Planctomycetaceae. RNAcentral also lists the same sequence under 1 other name. The record is from RNAcentral.
CGGGGAGUGGCGCAGCUUGGUAGCGCGCUUCGUUCGGGACGAAGAGGCCGCUGGUUCGAAUCCAGUCUCCCCGACCA